UACGUAGGGUGCAAGCGUUAAUCGGAAUUACUGGGCGUAAAGCGUGCGCAGGCGGUUUUGUAAGUUUGUCGUGAAAGCCCCGGGCUCAACCUGGGAAUUGCGAUGAAGACUGCAAGGCUUGAAUCUGGCAGAGGGGGGUAGAAUUCCACGUGUAGCAGUGAAAUGCGUAGAGAUGUGGAGGAACACCGAUGGCGAAGGCAGCGAUCUGGGUCGAUACUGACGCUGAGGUGCGAAAGCGUGGGGAGCAAACAGG
RNAcentral lists this ribosomal RNA (253 nucleotides) under uncultured bacterium. RNAcentral describes it as "partial 16S ribosomal RNA". It matches the Rfam family "Bacterial small subunit ribosomal RNA", at positions 524 to 776 of the family's 1533-position model. The record is from RNAcentral.